This 64-nucleotide transfer RNA is filed under the name Mytella strigata. RNAcentral's name for it is "Musculus strigatus tRNA-Asp". Lineage: Eukaryota; Metazoa; Mollusca; Bivalvia; Mytilida; Mytilidae. The record is from RNAcentral.
UACAAGGUAGUUAAAGAAAUAAUGUUAGUUUGUCAUUCUAAUGUUGCUGUUAAGGCCCUUGUGU